Molecule: ribosomal RNA, 376 nt
Filed under: uncultured bacterium
Lineage: Bacteria
Description: bacterial SSU rRNA
Rfam family: Bacterial small subunit ribosomal RNA
Source: RNAcentral
AUACAGAGGGUGCAAGCGUUAAUCGGAAUUACUGGGCGUAAAGCGUGCGUAGACGGUUAUUUAAGUCGGGUGUGAAAGCCCCGGGCUCAACCUGGGAAUGGCAUUCGAGACUGAAUAGCUAGGGUGCGGAAGAGGGAAGCGGAAUUUCCGGUGUAGCGGUGAAAUGCGUAGAUAUCGGAAGGAACAUCAGUGGCGAAAGCGGCUUCCUGGUCCAGCACCGACGUUCAGGCACGAAAGCGUGGGGAGCAAACAGGAUUAGAUACCCUGGUAGUCCACGCCAUAAACGAUGAGGACUAGACGUUGGGGGGGUAAGCCCCUCAGUGUCGCAGCUAACGCGCUAAGUCCUCCGCCUGGGGAGUACGGCCGCAAGGUUGAA